Non-coding RNA from Lonchura striata (white-rumped munia), 287 nucleotides. The record is from RefSeq and is a predicted model, not a curated record. NCBI's taxonomy places the organism in Eukaryota, Metazoa, Chordata, Aves, Passeriformes, Estrildidae.
GGCCAGAGAGAUUCAGCAGAAGAAUAAUUUCUUUUCUUCACUGUCUCCGCCUCUAGAGUAGUCAAAAACCUUUAUGGUGGAAGCUAUCCUCAUUUUAGGAAGGAAUUCAAUAGCAAGAGCUGGAUCUGCAAUGCUUGUCUACUUCCAGAGUGCACGUCUAGCUAACAGAGCACACGGACAAUAAAACAGCAGGGGGUAUUAACCAUCACUUCACAUGAGACACAAGGCACUGGAAGAAUAGAGCUCCCACCUCAGAGCACCAAGGAACACCAAGACAAGAUGAAUUU